GCUCUUGUAGCACAAUUGGUAGUGCGUCUGAUUUGUAAUCAGAAGGUUGGGGGUUCAAGUCCCUUCGGGAGCU
This 73-nucleotide transfer RNA is filed under the name Methanobrevibacter sp. RNAcentral describes it as "tRNA-Thr". It matches the Rfam family "tRNA". From Rfam's summary of the family: Transfer RNA (tRNA) molecules are approximately 80 nucleotides in length. Their secondary structure includes four short double-helical elements and three loops (D, anti-codon, and T loops). Further hydrogen bonds mediate the characteristic L-shaped molecular structure. tRNAs have two regions of fundamental functional importance: the anti-codon, which is responsible for specific mRNA codon recognition, and the 3' end, to which the tRNAs corresponding amino acid is attached (by aminoacyl-tRNA synthetases). tRNAs cope with the degeneracy of the genetic code in two manners: having more than one tRNA (with a specific anti-codon) for a particular amino acid; and 'wobble' base-pairing, i.e. permitting non-standard base-pairing at the 3rd anti-codon position. Lineage: Archaea; Methanobacteriati; Methanobacteriota; Methanobacteria; Methanobacteriales; Methanobacteriaceae. The record is from RNAcentral.